RNAcentral lists this small nuclear RNA (281 nucleotides) under Chinchilla lanigera (long-tailed chinchilla). RNAcentral's name for it is "7SK RNA (ENSCLAG00000021817.1)". It matches the Rfam family "7SK RNA". Rfam says of the family: 7SK was discovered as an abundant small nuclear RNA in the mid-70s but a possible function has only recently been suggested. Two independent studies have found that 7SK RNA binds the CDK9/cyclin T complex (known as elongation factor P-TEFb). P-TEFb activates transcription by phosphorylating the C-terminal domain of RNA polymerase II. The record is from Rfam by way of RNAcentral. Lineage: Eukaryota; Metazoa; Chordata; Mammalia; Rodentia; Chinchillidae.
GGAAGUGAGAGCGAUCUGGCCGCGACAUCUGUCACCCGGGUGAUCUCCAGGGUUGAUCUGGCUGAUCAGGCCAACCAGGUGGUGUCUCCUCCCUCCCGUAACGCUCCGCGUGCACCCUCCUGAAGCUGCGCGCUCGGUCGGAGAGGACGACCAACCGAUAGAGGAGCUGGGCUCCCCUGCUAGAACCUUCAAACAAGCUCUCAAAAUAAAGUAAGUGGUUGUCCAGUCCUCUGGAUGACCGAGAAACAUGAGAGUCUGUUUCGAGGUCACUUCUGUUCCUC